RNAcentral lists this ribosomal RNA (425 nucleotides) under uncultured bacterium. RNAcentral describes it as "partial 16S ribosomal RNA". It matches the Rfam family "Bacterial small subunit ribosomal RNA", at positions 354 to 796 of the family's 1533-position model. The record is from RNAcentral.
GUGGGGAAUAUUGCACAAUGGGCGAAAGCCUGAUGCAGCGACGCCGCGUGAGCGAAGAAGUAUUUCGGUAUGUAAAGCUCUAUCAGCAGGGAAGAUAAUGACGGUACCUGACUAAGAAGCACCGGCUAAAUACGUGCCAGCAGCCGCGGUAAUACGUAUGGUGCAAGCGUUAUCCGGAUUUACUGGGUGUAAAGGGAGCGCAGGCGGUGCGGCAAGUCUGAUGUGAAAGCCCGGGGCUCAACCCCGGUACUGCAUUGGAAACUGUCGUACUAGAGUGUCGGAGGGGUAAGCGGAAUUCCUAGUGUAGCGGUGAAAUGCGUAGAUAUUAGGAGGAACACCAGUGGCGAAGGCGGCUUACUGGACGAUAACUGACGCUGAGGCUCGAAAGCGUGGGGAGCAAACAGGAUUAGAUACCCGAGUAGUCC